RNAcentral lists this ribosomal RNA (440 nucleotides) under uncultured bacterium. Its description in RNAcentral is "partial 16S ribosomal RNA". It matches the Rfam family "Bacterial small subunit ribosomal RNA", at positions 338 to 795 of the family's 1533-position model. The record is from RNAcentral.
CCUACGGGCGGCAGCAGUGGGGAAUAUUGCACAAUGGGGGAACCCCUGAUGCAGCGAAGCCGCGUGAGUGAAGACGGACUUCGUUAUGUAAAGCUCUAUCAGCCGGGAAGAAAAUGACGGUACCUGAGUAAGAAGCCCCGGCUAACUACGUGCCAGCAGCCGCGGUAAUACGUAGGGGGCAAGCGGUAUCCGGAUUUACUGGGGGUAAAGGGGGCGUAGACGGCAGUGCAAGUCUGGAGUGAAAGGCGGGGGCUCAACCCCCGGACUGCUCUGGAAACUGUACGGCUGGAGUGCAGGAGAGGUAAGUGGAAUGCCUAGUGUAGCGGUGAAAUGCGUAGAUAUUAGGAGGAACACCAGUGGCGAAGGCGGCUUACUGAACUGUAACUGACGUUGAGGCUCGAAAGCGUGGGGAGCAAACAGGAUUAGAUACCCCUGUAGUC